GCUAUUCUGGUGUAGUUGGUUAAUACUCACUACUAAAAUCCUUGCUGUUAUGGUGAGGUCACUAGUUCAAUCCUCACUUUUGGCA
Molecule: non-coding RNA, 85 nt
Organism: Mycena latifolia
Lineage: Eukaryota; Fungi; Basidiomycota; Agaricomycetes; Agaricales; Mycenaceae
Source: the annotation of a GenBank genome assembly